GACGAAGGGAGCGAGCGUUGCUCGGAAUAAUUGGGCGUAAAGGGUGCGUAGGUGGUUUUUUAAGUGAGAUGUUAAAGACCUGGACUCAAUCUAGGAAAUGCAUUUCAUACUGAAAAACUUGAGUGUGGGAGAGGAAAUAGGAAUUUCUCAUGUAGAGGUGAAAUUCGUAGAUAUGAGAAGGAACACCAAAGGCGAAGGCAAAUUUCUGGAACACUACUGACACUGAGGCACGAAAGCGUGGGGAGCAAACAGG
Molecule: ribosomal RNA, 253 nt
Filed under: uncultured bacterium
Lineage: Bacteria
Description: partial 16S ribosomal RNA
Rfam family: Bacterial small subunit ribosomal RNA
Source: RNAcentral